Molecule: long non-coding RNA, 1477 nt
Filed under: Gallus gallus (chicken)
Lineage: Eukaryota; Metazoa; Chordata; Aves; Galliformes; Phasianidae
Description: lncRNA (ENSGALG00010004263.1)
Source: RNAcentral
GCUGCUUUUGUUUGUCUUCAUUUAAUUGGCGUGGUCAGAGGGCCACCAGCAAGACCAAUUAAAUAGAUUCAAUAGAUUCUACUGUAUAUUUUUGUUGUGGUUAUUUUUUUUUUCUUCACGAACGCAUAGCAUAAAAUGUCUAGAAUAAUUUUUCUGAGCACUGGUAAUGAAUAUAAAAUGCUCUCUGUUCCAGCCUGCAUACGAAUGAUGAAUUGACUUUGCCUGUUGCUGAAGAGCCUCAUCUCCUUAAUGCAUUGCAGAUAUGUCUAAUGGAUGCAAGCUGUCAGGGUCUGGCAGUAACCAGUCCCCACCAAAAAUAUUUUCGCCUGGGACUGUUCCAUCAGAUUCCAGCUCUGCUCUCACAGAGGAAAACGUGAAAAGGCUGGAAGAGGAGUACACAACUUCUAAGGAAGCCUUCCAUAAGAAGAGAAUACGAGAUUAUAUCAAGCAGAGUAAUAUUGCUCUCUCCUGCAAUGAGGAAACUGGGGAAACCAGCACAGACCUUGUCUGGGAUGAAGAACCUGAAGGAGCCCCCUCAUCCUUUCCAGCAAAACAGAAAGAAAACAGCAGAGAAGCCUCCCGGAACAGCUAUGCAGUUAUUUCAAGGAAAGAUAAGCUAUUAACAGAUGUGGAGAUGCUCUCUGGGGAAAAUGAGUUUUUCUCUGAAGCAGAAGUGAGUGAGAGGCCAGCUGAAAGGGAGGAAGAGGCAAGAACAGAGGAGGGAGAGGAAAACAGCCCAUCAGAGCGCUGUGAGCAAGCUGCGUGUGAGCCUGCUGAGCCUGCUUACAGAAGUCCAAGGCCGGAGUCAGAGGAGGAAUCACCAGCCAGCCCAGAAAAGCAGGAGGAUAAUGGGAUGGCAGCUGCCCAGUGCACAGCCCAGGAAACAACUGAAACUGAAGAGUCUGCAAGGUGUACCUUCUGCGGUGCUCCUGAAAAACCAAUCCCAACAGUAGCAGAUCUGAAGGAAAAACCACAGGAAAAUGUGAGUCUACUCAUACUGCGUUGGGACGUUGCCAUGUAAGCAGGUUCUGCCCAGGAUCCACAUCACCCUUGAUGUGUGCUGCACCCCACAGCUCUUUUGCUGCAGGAGCUAUAAGAAGGUAUUCAGCGCUGCCAUCCAAGACCUGAUGAAUGAAGAUGAAGCAGAGGACGAGAUGGACUCUGCUUCCCAUGCUGAUGAUUUACAAGCUGAGUUGCGAAAUGGCAUCAAGGAGAAGGUGUUGCAACAGUAAGGAACCCAGAGAGACCCCAGACACUGGUGGGAGGAGGGAGGCCCAUCAUCACCUCCUUUUGCUCUGGUCCAAGGGAUUUCACUGGUGGAAACCUGCUUGAGGCAUCUCACCACCAACAACAAUUUGAUCUUACUGUCAACCUCUCUUUUUUUGAUCUCAGGUUAAGUGAGAGAGGACUUAAGAACAACAGGAAAAUCCUUCAGCAGUACUUGAAAAUUGUUUCCCGUGAGUACCUUGAAUUGCUG